GCGCCCUUCGUGUAACGGUAACACGCUGCACCCUUGUCGGUAAGAGUGCCAAAGACUUGAAUAACAGAGAUCGGGGUUCGAAUCCCCGAGGGCGCG
Mycena rosella is the source of this 96-nucleotide non-coding RNA. Lineage: Eukaryota; Fungi; Basidiomycota; Agaricomycetes; Agaricales; Mycenaceae. The record is from the annotation of a GenBank genome assembly.